Molecule: ribosomal RNA, 432 nt
Filed under: uncultured archaeon
Lineage: Archaea
Description: bacterial SSU rRNA
Rfam family: Archaeal small subunit ribosomal RNA
Source: RNAcentral
GGACCCGACUGCUAUCAAAGUGGGACUAACCCAUGCGAGUCAACAUAGCAAUAUGUGGCAUACGGCUCAGUAACACGUAGUCAACAUGCCCAGGGGACGUGGAUAACCUCGGGAAACUGAGGAUAAACCGCGAUAGGUCAUCACUUCUGGAAUGGGUAAUGACUUAAAUCUAUAUGGCCCCUGGAUUGGACUGCGGCCGAUCAGGCUGUUGGUGAGGUAAUGGUCCACCAAACCUGUAACCGGUACGGGCUCUGAGAGGAGGAGCCCGGAGAUGGGCACUGAGACAAGGGCCCAGGCCCUAUGGGGCGCAGCAGGCGCGAAACCUCUGCAAUAGGCGAAAGCUUGACAGGGUUACUCUGAGUGAUUUCCGUUAAGGAGAUCUUUUGGCACCUCUAAAAAUGGUGCAAAAUAAGGGGUGGGCAAGUCUGGUGU